Macaca fascicularis (crab-eating macaque) is the source of this 1621-nucleotide long non-coding RNA. The record is from Ensembl. Lineage: Eukaryota; Metazoa; Chordata; Mammalia; Primates; Cercopithecidae.
UGGGGCACAGCUUGAUUUGAUACAUUUUAGGGAGACCAGAGGCAUCGAUAUAUGUAAGAAGUAGAUUGGUUUGGUCUGGAAAGCUGGACAACUCCAAGCGAAGGCAGGGAGACUGCAAGGAAGCGGGGAGGGACCUUUCAGGUCACAGAUAUGUGACAAAUGGUUGCAUUCUUUUGAGUGUCUGAACAGCCUUACCAAAGGAGGCAAUCAGAUAUGCAUUUAUCUCAGUGGGCAGAGGGAUAACUUUGAAUAGAACGGGAGGCAGGUUUGCCCUAAGCAGUCCUCAGCUUGAAUUUUCCUUUCAGCUUAGUGAUUUGGGGGGUCCAAGAUAUUUUCCUUUCACACUUGCAACCAAAUGUGAAUACGUGGCAGUCUUAUGGGGGAUGCUGGUAAACCUCGUGGAGCCCAUGCAAAUACAAAACUUCUAAUGAAGACUCGGCAAGCAGAGAAGAUAAGGAAAAACUCAACAGAUCCGAGGAGUCAAUAUCAUUAGAGGGCAGAUGUGGUGACUUCUCCCCGGAAGGACAUGGCCCAGCAACAGAAGGAGAUAUUGGGAAGAUCCGUCCCCUUGUGCAGAGGCAGAAUGCAAGCACAGGACCCCAAACCCCCUGAGGAGCUCCUCCUGCAACUGGGGGCAGUUUCUUCAUACAAGGCAAGUCGGAAAAAACAAAUUAUUUUCUCUUAUAGGGAUUUUCCCUUUGAACCUUGUUAACCCAGAAUAUCAGAGACAGGUCUCAGUCACUUUAGAAACUUUAUUUUGCCAGGGUCGCGUCCGUGACACAGUCUCAGGAAGUCCUGACAACACGUGCCCACAGUGGUCGGGGGUGCAGUUUGCUUUUAUACAUUUUAGGGAGACAUAAGACGUCAAUCAGUACGUGUAAGCUGUACAGUGGUUUGGCCUGGUAAGGUGGGAAGUGGGGGGCCUCCAGGUCAGAAGUAGAUAAGAGACAAAAGGUUGCAUUCCUUUGAGUCCUUGAUCAGCCUUCCACUGAAUACACAAUUUAAUCUGGCUCAGUGAAUCUGCAUUUUUACAUGAACAAUAGGGCAGAAGAAGCGAUCAGAUACACACGUGUCUUGGGUGAGCCUUAGAGGGAUGACUUCUAGAGUUCUGUCUGCCCUUUGUCCACAAGGAAUUUCCUGUAGGCAAAUUGUGAGGGAGGUAUCUUUGUAGCUAUCUUAUUUAGGAAUAAAAUAGGAGGCAGGUUUGCCUGACAUCGUUCCCAGCUUGACUUUUCUCUUGGCUGAGUGACUUUGGGGUCCUGAGAUUUAUUUUCUUUUCACAACCUUUAGUUGAGUGAAAGUUUCUCCUUUAGGAACCACAAAGGCCAGUCAGUCCCUGAGCUUCUGAUUCUUUUGUCUCCUUAAUGACUACACCUGUGUGCUGUUUCACCACACACCUUUGAAUCCCUUGAAAUUCUGCUGAGAUACAGUAAACAAUCACCUACGUACCUGGUUUGACCGGAGGGAUCCCCAGAAGAGUGGCCUCUCUGAAAUGCUGCUGCCAUGUGUUUGCCUCAAUGCCAGGAGUCCCUCUGUGUGAUGCCCCCAGGCAGUGGCAGGGAACAGCAGCCCCAUGUGAGUGUGACUUGGUGUGUUAGCUUCCAGUCCUCCUGACAGUGAC